GCAAGUCGAACGGUAACAUUUCUAGCUUGCUAGAAGAUGACGAGUGGCGGACGGGUGAGUAAUGCUUGGGAACUUGCCUUUGCGAGGGGGAUAACAGUUGGAAACGACUGCUAAUACCGCAUAAUGUCUACGGACCAAACGGGGCUUAGGCUCCGGCGCAAAGAGAGGCCCAAGUGAGAUUAGCUAGUUGGUAAGGUAAAGGCUUACCAAGGCGACGAUCUCUAGCUGUUCUGAGAGGAAGAUCAGCCACACUGGGACUGAGACACGGCCCAGACUCCUACGGGAGGCAGCAGUGGGGAAUAUUGCACAAUGGGGGAAACCCUGAUGCAGCCAUGCCGCGUGUGUGAAGAAGGCCUUCGGGUUGUAAAGCACUUUCAGUUGUGAGGAAAAGUUAGUAGUUAAUACCUGCUAGCCGUGACGUUAACAACAGAAGAAGCACCGGCUAACUCCGUGCCAGCAGCCGCGGUAAUACGGAGGGUGCGAGCGUUAAUCGGAAUUACUGCGCGUAAAGCGCACGCAGGCGG
Molecule: ribosomal RNA, 524 nt
Filed under: uncultured bacterium
Lineage: Bacteria
Description: bacterial SSU rRNA
Rfam family: Bacterial small subunit ribosomal RNA
Source: RNAcentral